AUUGAACGCUGGCGGCAUGCCUUACACAUGCAAGUCGAACGGCAGCACGGGUGCUUGCACCUGGUGGCGAGUGGCGAACGGGUGAGUAAUACAUCGGAACAUGUCCUGUAGUGGGGGAUAGCCCGGCGAAAGCCGGAUUAAUACCGCAAACGAUCUACGGAUGAAAGCGGGGGACCUUCGGGCCUCGCGCUAUAGGGUUGGCCGAUGGCUGAUUAGCUAGUUGGUGGGGUAAAGGCCUACCAAGGCGACGAUCAGUAGCUGGUCUGAGAGGACGACCAGCCACACUGGGACUGAGACACGGCCCAGACUCCUACGGGAGGCAGCAGUGGGGAAUUUUGGACAAUGGGCGAAAGCCUGAUCCAGCAAUGCCGCGUGUGUGAAGAAGGCCUUCGGGUUGUAAAGCACUUUUGUCCGGAAAGAAAUCCUUGGCCCUAAUACGGUCGGGGGAUGACGGUACCGGAAGAAUAAGCACCGGCUAACUACGUG
Molecule: ribosomal RNA, 486 nt
Filed under: uncultured bacterium
Lineage: Bacteria
Description: partial 16S ribosomal RNA
Rfam family: Bacterial small subunit ribosomal RNA
Source: RNAcentral